CAAGUCUCCAACCAAGCCGGAAAAAUUCGACCCUCUUGAAGAUGGAAGAGGAUGCUGCAAUCUUUUCGUGCACCACUCGUAGUUGAAGCUGCCAGCAUGAUCUGAUCUUUCCUUCACCUUCAAGGCUAGAUCAGAUCAUGCGGUAGUUUCACCUACUGAUGGGAGCAUGAGGAUACCCUCUUUAGCUCUUUCUUUUUUUAUCUUUUUGGGUUUUUGGUGAAUAAAAUGAGCACGCUUUAUUCCCAUAUACCCUAAUUGAAUAGUUCCUUGGGGGAAUUUCAUGAACUCCUUCAAAAGCUUUAUAAUGGCGUGUGAGAACAUCAUGGUAGGGUAAACCUAAGCCGCAUGCAGCAGAAGAGAAUAGGACCGGACGCAACAAAUUCAAUUUGUCUUAUUGGGAACUUAGGAAUAAAGCUGCAAUGACGUAAAGAGCAAGUGAUGCCCUUUUGCUUAUGGUUCCAAUCACCAGCAUAUUCUGGGAAACUGAAACAUUGGAGUGAUCAAAAUUCUUCAACGUUUAUCUCUAAAGAAAAAUUCCUUGGCCUUAUGUGGAAAAGAAGAUGUGUGUAGAAUGCAGGCAGGCCUUUGCAGCUUUCAGAAAAUGGACCACAAAAUUGACUUUUUUAAAUUAUGCUGUUACAUUGGGUUUUACGCAAGAACAGUUGGCAAGGGGGGAAAGUAACAGUUAUGAGCAGUACAUAUAUCACAGUGGAUUGAGUUUAAUUUUACUUUUUUGGCUCUGUAUAGGUUUUGUUUUGACUUUCUUUUGUUUUUUCAACAAAUUAUGUGUGGGAAACUCAUACACUAUAUACCAACUUGUCUUAAGAA
Molecule: long non-coding RNA, 828 nt
Organism: Coffea arabica (coffee)
Lineage: Eukaryota; Viridiplantae; Streptophyta; Magnoliopsida; Gentianales; Rubiaceae
Source: RefSeq, a predicted model, not a curated record